This 496-nucleotide ribosomal RNA is filed under the name uncultured bacterium. RNAcentral's name for it is "partial 16S ribosomal RNA". It matches the Rfam family "Bacterial small subunit ribosomal RNA", at positions 28 to 506 of the family's 1533-position model. The record is from RNAcentral.
GAUGAACGCUGGCGGCGUGCCUAAUACAUGCAAGUCGAGCGAACGGACGAGAAGCUUGCUUCUCUGAUGUUAGCGGCGGACGGGUGAGUAACACGUGGAUAACCUACCUAUAAGACUGGGAUAACUUCGGGAAACCGUAGCUAAUACCGGAUAAUAUUUUGAACCGCAUGGUUCAAAAGUGAAAGACGGUCUUGCUGUCACUUAUAGAUGGAUCCGCGCUGCAUUAGCUAGUUGGUAAGGUAACGGCUUACCAAGGCAACGAUGCAUAGCCGACCUGAGAGGGUGUUCGCCCACACGGAAACUGAGACACGGCCCGAACCCCAAGGGGGGGCAGGAGGAGGAAAUCUUCCGCAAGGGGCAAAAGCCUAGCGGGGAAACGCGGGGGAGGUGAGAAAGUGCUUGGGUUGGUAAACCUUUUUUUUUGGGGAAAAACAAAUGUGUAAGAAACGGUGCACCUUUUGCCGGUCCCAAAGAAAAAAGCCAGGGCUAACUCCGU